UAAACGGAGGAAGCGAUAUUUUUAUUGGUACUCAUAUUCUAACAUUUGUAAAAAGAAUGACAUUGGUGUUUGGCGAGGUGUUAUCGACGAGUGAGAAAAAUUAUCUUUGGGAAGAAGCAGUAUCUCUUUGGUGGAAGACUGAUAUUGGUUAAUUAUAUUUUGGAUGGUGUACAAACUUAUUUAAUGUCAUUAGUACCAAUCCUAGCAAAGGUGGACCACCCAUGUCUUCCUUCCCCUUCGUCCAGCCUAGUGAGAUUAGAUUUCUAGAACAAAGUGAAGUGAUAGGAAGAGAAGACUUCUGGUAGGAAAUCCCUCUAUUCAUGAAAGCCUUUUUUUAAGGUUAAGGAGAAAACGAGAGCGCUCCUGCGCUCCAGCUGAAGAAAGGAGUUUUGGAAACUUACCUUAUUAUUAUAUUAAAAGGGGGAAAGGGUUCUAAACCUAUCUGACUAAUAAGAAGAAAGGGGUGUUUAGCCACUUGACAAGUCGCAUAACUCCUAAACAGUCUAUUUUGCUUUUAAGUGGCUAAAAUAGGAGGGCGUGGAGUGAGGGACCUCUAAAUGCAUAAUGACUGUCUCAUGUAUAAGUGGUUAUGGAGGUGGAACGAUGAUAGAGAUGCUAUUUAGAAGUCUGUUAUAGAUUUCAAGUACAGGAGAGAGCGGUUUUGGGAACUAAGCCUAUAAAAUCUCCAUAUGGGGUGACUAUGUGGAAGCACAUAGUAAAUUGUAUAGGGUGAAUUUAAGAAUAUUAUUAAAAAGGUGGGGAAUGGAAACAAAUCAGAUAAUGGUCUGAGAGACGGUGUGAUGAGAGGCUGUUGAAGAAUCAAUUUCCAACCAUUUACAGUUUGGUUUUAGAUCAAGAGUGUCUGCCGGCUGAUUCUUUUGUUGAAGGAGGCUGUAGCUUCCAUUUCAAGAGGGAUUUUAAUGAUGGGGAGCUGGAUGAAGAAGCUUCUUUUUUGGAGAAAAUGCAGAGUUUUAAGUUUGAAGGAGAGAAGGAGAAUACACAGAUAUAGCUUGCAAAUACCUCUUGGAAGUUUCAAGUGAAAUAAGGCUUUGAAUGACUGCAAGAACAGAAUCAUAGUUUGGAAAACUAAGGCCCAAACCAAAGUAGCAUGCUUUGGGCGGAUUUGCUCCUUGUUUGACUCAAGAUAAUUUACAAAGAGGGGAUUUAUCUGAUGUAAUAGGUGUUUUCUAUGUGAAUACUCUGAAGAAAUUGCUAGUCACUUAUUGUUGCCUAUGUUGCUUGGGCUCUUCAAAUAUGUCAAUUGGUGCAUGUUGGAUAGUGUAUUUUUGGAGAAUCCGUCAGGAAUCCAGAAACGAAAGUGAAGAGUCCGCUCUACUUAGGUUGUUGCACUGUGAACAAACAUAGCUGAUCGGGUCCUUAUUUUGAAUAUCUUUGGUGUUUUUUGGAUGAUGCAGAUGCCGCAGAGCUUUAAAGAUCUACUAAAUUGUUGGCAAGGUCAGGGUAUGGAAAGAAAGCAGAUGAAUAUUUGGAGAUAAUUCCCCCAUGCAUCAUCAGGACGGUGUUGCAUGAGAGAAACAAAGAUGCUUUGAAAGAAAAAGGAGUUGAUUGCCUAUGUAGAUUUAGAUUCUUGCAAGACUUGUUUUGUUGGCAUACUUUUUUUGUUUUUGUUAUGCUUGAUCUCAAUUUAUGGACUCUCUAGAUACUUUUUUUGCAUAGUGUUUGAUGGAAUCCAGAAUUUUUUAAUAUUUGCAGUACCUUGGUACUGUUUCAUCAAUAAACUUUUUACCUUAUCAAAAAAAUAAAAAAAAAAAUGUCAACUAUAGAUGUGCUGUUAUAAGGCGAUUCCUUGUAAUUUCAAACUCAGAUUCUUGAGUUUCUUGAACAUUUCGUCUCAUAAGCAGGUUUCCAUGCUAGAGGGCUGUCAUGGGAGCAGAACAGCCAAAAGACCCAUCAAAAGAGAUGGACUGGAAAAGUCUGGGUGGAGAAAGUAGGGAGCCUGGUCUUGGACCAGCUGUGAAGAAACGGCUUCCAAAAAAGAUUCGACAAGUUCCUGAUUAUUAUUUCCUCCCACGGAGAUCCUUACAAUAUUCCAUAGCCUUUUAUGGGUCAUUUAUUCCCUGCCGGAGUUGGUGCAGGGAUGCUACUUGAAGUAUGGAUCAACAAGAAGGUCAAAGAGGAUGGAGGAGUCAUUUGGGAGUUUGACAAAUGAAAUACCAGAUGAUUUUGCUGCUCUUUUGCCUGUGCCGUUGUUUUCUGAUUUCCUUUUCUCGCCAAGUAGUUUACAUCAGCCAAGGCAGUUCAAAAGUUUCUAUACAGGAUAACGCUAUUUUAUUUUGUAGUUACUAUACAUUUGAGGAGUAGAGUGCAACAUUAGUUCUUGAUGGAAUUUGAGUAAAUAAAAUUGUGCAUCUGGAAGUAGUACCACAACUAAAACACGCAGCUUAGUGUUAUAAAUUGUGAUAUUGUCAGUAUUUUUGUUGUAUUUAACGGUCCUACUAGGUCUAUCUUGUAACUUUUGAUUACGAGCAAGACUUUUAUCCAUAGUUAUCUAAAUUUUACUAUUUUUAUAAUAUUAUUUCUCGUAUGGCAAGCUAGUGUUCCUAGUUAGCCACACGUCCAAAUUGACUCUAAUUAGUUGGAAAAUUGUACUUCGUAGAUAGAUUAAAAAAAAAUGUAUAUAUAAUAUAUUAAUUAUUUUGCCUUUUA
Capsicum annuum is the source of this 2667-nucleotide long non-coding RNA. RefSeq lists it as uncharacterized. The record is from RefSeq and is a predicted model, not a curated record. Lineage: Eukaryota; Viridiplantae; Streptophyta; Magnoliopsida; Solanales; Solanaceae. The transcript has 2 exons.